This 107-nucleotide small nucleolar RNA is filed under the name Capsicum annuum. Its description in RNAcentral is "Plant small nucleolar RNA R71". It matches the Rfam family "Plant small nucleolar RNA R71". From Rfam's summary of the family: R71 is a member of the C/D box family of snoRNAs containing the C (UGAUGA) and D (CUGA) box motifs. Lineage: Eukaryota; Viridiplantae; Streptophyta; Magnoliopsida; Solanales; Solanaceae. The record is from Rfam by way of RNAcentral.
UGAUGAUGGUGAGGGAAAUUUCUGAGCAUACUCUUAAAUCUCUCCCAAGAUUGGUAGAGAUUCUCUCCUUCUUUUUGUGUGAAACUUAGAAUCUCGCUUCUCAAUCG